GAUGAAGAACGUAGCGAAAUGCGAUAAGUAAUGUGAAUUGCAGAAUUCAGUGAAUCAUCGAGUCUUUGAACGCACAUUGCGCCCUCUGGUAUUCCGGGGGGCAUGCCUGUUCGAGCGUCAUUACAACCCUCAAGCUUUGCUUGGUAUUGGACAUUGCCAGUUUCUGGCAGGUCUUAAAAUCAGUGGCGGUGCCAUUUGGCUUCAAGCGUAGUAAUUCUUCUCGCUUUGGAGAUCCAGGUGGUUACUUGCCAAUAACCCCCAAUUUUUUCAGGUUGACCUCGGAUCAGGUAGGGAUACCCGCUGAACUUAAGCAUAUCAAUAAGCGGAGGA
RNAcentral lists this unclassified non-coding RNA (330 nucleotides) under soil metagenome. Its description in RNAcentral is "partial contains 5.8S ribosomal RNA, internal transcribed spacer 2, and large subunit ribosomal RNA". The stretch from base 1 to 120 matches the Rfam family "5.8S ribosomal RNA", at positions 35 to 154 of the family's 154-position model. The record is from RNAcentral.